GGUAAUCAGGAUGGCAGUGAGGCAGGCACUUGCUUGCAGAAGAACAGGCCUAGUUUUUUAAGAAGCCACAAAAGUGUCUUUGGAUGAUUAGGAUCUAAGGGGCCAACAGCUUUGCAAUAACAGCAUAAAUAUUGUGGGCUGGAUGGACAGGCACCAAAUGGGGACAUUCCAUCCUGCUGUGUGAUGAGAAAGCUGCCACUUUUGAGGCCUUCCAAAACAAAUCAACACUCCAUAUGCCAGAAGGAAAAGCCCAGGAAAGACCUAUUCCAACUGGAGAUGGUGAAUGUCAUUUCUUCAAGAAGCUGAGAUCCAGCUGGUACUGCCAGGUGGAGAAUUGCUGUGUUCUUGUUUCUAGGAAUACGAAGGGAGAAUGAAACAAAACUGCUCCGCUUAGGGAACUUGGAAAGGAAAUUGAAAAGGCAAGGCACAGGCUGGAAGAAAAUAUUUGAAAAAGAUUUAUGUGAACUUCUUUCUGGAUUAUACAAAAUAUUUUUAGAUAUUCUUACAACUCUAAAAUAAGAUAACUCCUUAAAAAUCUAAAUUCUACCAAAGGAGAGAUAAAGAUGACGAAUACAUUCAAAGAUGCUGAAAAUCACUUAUUUAUUAUUAGGAAGUUACAAGCUAAAGCAUAAUGAGAUACCACUACAACCUACUAAACUGACUAAAAUUAAUCAGACUAACCAGGUGUUGGCAAGAAACAGGG
Molecule: long non-coding RNA, 703 nt
Filed under: Homo sapiens (human)
Lineage: Eukaryota; Metazoa; Chordata; Mammalia; Primates; Hominidae
Description: non-protein coding DAB1-AS1:43
Source: RNAcentral